This 774-nucleotide ribosomal RNA is filed under the name uncultured Neocallimastigales. RNAcentral describes it as "partial large subunit ribosomal RNA". It matches the Rfam family "Eukaryotic large subunit ribosomal RNA", at positions 26 to 643 of the family's 3401-position model. Lineage: Eukaryota; Fungi; Neocallimastigomycota; Neocallimastigomycetes; Neocallimastigales. The record is from RNAcentral.
CGCAUCUGUGCAUGCAGCAUAUCAAUAAGCGGAGGAAAAGAAACUAACAAGGAUUCCCCUAGUAACGGCGAGUGAAGCGGGAAGAGCUCAAAUUUGAAAUCUUAAAGGGUUUCCCUUUACGAAUUGUAGUUUAAAGAAGUGUUUUCUGUUGAGGUUUUGGUAAAAGUUCUUUGGAAUAGGACAUCAUAGAGGGUGAGAAUCCCGUAUUUGACCUUUACUUUCAACUUUGUGAUACACUUUCAAAGAGUCGGAUUGUUUGGGAAUGCAGUCCAAAAUGGGUGGUAAAUUUCAUCUAAAGCUAAAUAUUGGCGAGAGACCGAUAGCGAACAAGUACCGUGAGGGAAAGAUGAAAAGAACUUUGAAAAGAGAGUUAAACAGUACGUGAAAUUGUCAAAAGGGAAGCGUUUGACACCAGUGUUGUUUUUCUGAAAAUCAAUUAAAGAACUGUUUAUGCUAAGCUGUUUAGACUUUAUCAGCUAAUCUGCUUAGUUUUGAGCUUUUCUUUAAUGCACUUUUCAGUUAACAAGUCAACAUCAAUUUCUUUUGCUGUAAAAAAGCUUGAGGAAGGUGGCUUGAGAUUCGUCUUAAGUGUUUAUAGCCUCUUGCCUAUGCAGUCGGAGAGAUUGAGGUCUGCAGCGUAGAUCCUUCGGGGCUAAAUGCAUUUGUGCUAAGUUAUAGCAUUUUAUAGACAACUUGUUGACUAUGAUUUGUCUUGUAGCUUACUCGCUUAUGUUAUUUUACCUACGCUUAGGAUGUUGACUGAUAUGUAGUCGU